Molecule: ribosomal RNA, 328 nt
Filed under: uncultured bacterium
Lineage: Bacteria
Description: bacterial SSU rRNA
Rfam family: Bacterial small subunit ribosomal RNA
Source: RNAcentral
GACGUUAGCGACAGAAGAAGCACCGGCUAACUCCGUGCCAGCAGCCGCGGUAAUACGGAGGGUGCGAGCGUUAAUCGGAAUUACUGGGCGUAAAAGCGCAUGCAGGUGGUUUGUUAAGUCAGAUGUGAAAAGCCCGGGCUCAACCUCGGAAAUUGCAUUUGAAAACUGGCAGACUAGAGUACUGUAGGAGGGGGUAGAAUUUCAGGUGUAGCGGUGAAAAUGCGUAGAGAUCUGAAGGAAUACCGGUGGCGAAGGCGGCCCCCUGGACAGAUACUGACACUCAGAUGCGAAAGCGUGGGGAGCAAACAGGAUUAGACUACCCUGGUAG